Molecule: non-coding RNA, 1763 nt
Filed under: Saccharomyces cerevisiae (brewer's yeast)
Lineage: Eukaryota; Fungi; Ascomycota; Saccharomycetes; Saccharomycetales; Saccharomycetaceae
Description: partial 15S ribosomal RNA precursor
Rfam family: Bacterial small subunit ribosomal RNA
Source: RNAcentral
AAUAAAUAAUAAUUUUAUAUAAUAAUAAUAAUAUAUAUAUAUAUAUAUAUAAUUAUAUUAGUUAUAUAAUAAGGAAAAGUAAAAAAUUUAUAAGAAUAUGAUGUUGGUUCAGAUUAAGCGCUAAAUAAGGACAUGACGCAUACGAGUCAUACGUUUAUUAUUGAUAAGAUAAUAAAUAUGUGGUGUAAACGUGAGUAAUUUUAUUAGGAAUUAAUGAACUAUAGAAUAAGCUAAAUACUUAAUAUAUUAUUAUAUAAAAAUAAUUUAUAUAAUAAAAAGGAUAUAUAUAUAAUAUAUAUUUAUCUAUAGUCAAGCCAAUAAUGGUUUAGGUAGUAGGUUUAUUAAGAGUUAAACCUAGCCAACGAUCCAUAAUCGAUAAUGAAAGUUAGAACGAUCACGUUGACUCUGAAAUAUAGUCAAUAUCUAUAAGAUACAGCAGUGAGGAAUAUUGGACAAUGAUCGAAAGAUUGAUCCAGUUACUUAUUAGGAUGAUAUAUAAAAAUAUUUUAUUUUAUUUAGUUCCGGGGCCCGGCCACGGAACCGGACCCGAAAGGAGAAAUAUUAAAUAUUUAUAAUAAUAAUAAUAAUAAUAUAUAUAUAUAAAUUGAUUAAAAAUAAAAUCCAUAAAUAAUUAAAAUAAUGAUAUUAAUUACCAUAUAUAUUUUAUAUGGAUAUAUAUAUUAAUAAUAAUAUUAAUUUAUUAUUAUUAAUAAUAUAUUUUAAUAGUCCUGACUAAUAUUUGUGCCAGCAGUCGCGGUAACACAAAGAGGGCGAGCGUUAAUCAUAAUGGUUUAAAGGAUCCGUAGAAUGAAUUAUAUAUUAUAAUUUAGAGUUAAUAAAAUUAAUUAAAGAAUUAUAAUAGUAAAGAUGAAAUAAUAAUAAUAAUUAUAAGACUAAUAUAUGUGAAAAUAUUAAUUAAAUAUUAACUGACAUUGAGGGAUUAAAACUAGAGUAGCGAAACGGAUUCGAUACCCGUGUAGUUCUAGUAGUAAACUAUGAAUACAAUUAUUUAUAAUAUAUAUUAUAUAUAAAUAAUAAAUGAAAAUGAAAGUAUUCCACCUGAAGAGUACGUUAGCAAUAAUGAAACUCAAAACAAUAGACGGUUACAGACUUAAGCAGUGGAACAUGUUAUUUAAUUCGAUAAUCCACGACUAACUUUACCAUAUUUUGAAUAUUAUAAUAAUUAUUAUAAUUAUUAUAUUACAGGCGUUACAUUGUUGUCUUUAGUUCGUGCUGCAAAGUUUUAGAUUAAAUGUGCAUAAACGACCAAAACUCCAUAUAUAUAAUUUUUUAAUAUAUAUUAAAAAUAUUAUUUAUUAAUAUAAAGAAAGGAAUUAAGACAAAUCAUAAUGAUCCUUAUAAUAUGGGUAAUAGACGUGCUAUAAUAAAAUGAUAAUAAAAUUAUAUAAAAUAUAUUUAAUUAUAUUUAAUUAAUAAUAUAAAACAUUUUAAUUUUUAAUAUAUUUUUUUAUUAUAUAUUAAUAUCAAUUAUAAUCUGAAAUUCGAUUAUAUGAAAAAAGAAUUGCUAGUAAUACGUAAAUUAGUAUGUUACGGUGAAUAUUCUAACUGUUUCGCACUAAUCACUCAUCACGCGUUGAAACAUAUUAUUAUCUUAUUAUUUAUAUAAUAUUUUUUAAUAAAUAUUAAUAAUUAUUAAUUUAUAUUUAUUUAUAUCAGAAAUAAUAUGAAUUAAUGCGAAGUUGAAAUACAGUUACCGUAGGGGAACCUGCGGUGGGCUUAUAAAUAUCUUAAAUAUUCUUACA